AAUAUAUGACCCGAUUAGCAGCUUCCGGGAAACCAAAGUUUUUCGUUUCCGGGGGAAGUAUGGUUGCAAAGCUGAAACUUAAAGGAAUUGACGGAAGGGCACCACCAGGAGUGGAGCCUGCGGCUUAAUUUGACUCAACACGGGAAAACUCACCCGGCCCGGACACCGUAAGGAUUGACAGACUGAGAGCUCUUUCUUAAUUCGGUGGGUGGUGGUGCAUGGCCGUUCUUAGUUGGUGGAGCGAUUUGUCUGGUUAAUUCCGAUAACGAACGAGACUCUGGCCUAUUAAAUAGACGAUAUAUUUCAAAGUAUAUCGCGCUUCUUAGAGGGACAAGCGGCGUCUAGCCGCAUGAAAUAGAGCAAUAACAGGUCUGUGAUGCCCUUAGAUGUCCGGGGCUGCACGCGCGCUACACUGAAAGAAUCAGAGUGCGUUAUACCUAGUUCGGAAGAACCGGGUAACCCAAGUAAAUUCUUUCGUGCUUGGGAUAGGGAAUUGCAAAUUAUUUCCCUUAAACGAGGAAUUUCCCAGUAAAUGCGGGUCAUAAGCUCGCGUUG
RNAcentral lists this ribosomal RNA (555 nucleotides) under Dorylaimoidea environmental sample. RNAcentral's name for it is "SSU rRNA". It matches the Rfam family "Eukaryotic small subunit ribosomal RNA", at positions 1066 to 1643 of the family's 1831-position model. The record is from RNAcentral. Lineage: Eukaryota; Metazoa; Nematoda; Enoplea; Dorylaimida.